RNAcentral lists this ribosomal RNA (266 nucleotides) under uncultured bacterium. RNAcentral's name for it is "partial 16S ribosomal RNA". It matches the Rfam family "Bacterial small subunit ribosomal RNA", at positions 793 to 1055 of the family's 1533-position model. The record is from RNAcentral.
GUCCACGCUGUAAACGAUGAGCACUAGGUGUCGCGGGUAUUGACCCCUGCGGUGCCGCAGCUAACGCAUUAAGUGCUCCGCCUGGGGACUACGGCCGCAAGGCUAAAACUCAAAGGAAUUGACGGGGGCCCCGCACAAGCGGUGGAGCAUGUGGUUCAAUUCGACGCAACGCGAAGAACCUUACCUGGGCUAGACAACAGUGGACCGCUUCAGAGAUGAGGCUUCCCAUUCGGGGGCCGCUGGUUCAGGUGCUGCAUGGCUGUCGU